UACGGGGGGGGCAAGCGUUGUCCGGAAUCAUUGGGCGUAAAGAGCGUGUAGGCGGCCCGAUAAGUCCGCUGUGAAAGUCCAGGGCUCAACCCUGGAAUGCCGGUGGAUACUGUCGGGCUCGAGUUCGGAAGAGGUGAGUGGAAUUCCUGGUGUAGCGGUGAAAUGCGUAGAUAUGUGGAGGAACACCGAUGGCGAAGGCAGCCCCCUGGGUUAACACUGACGCUCAUGCACGAAAGCGUGGGGAGCAAACAGG
Molecule: ribosomal RNA, 253 nt
Filed under: uncultured bacterium
Lineage: Bacteria
Description: partial 16S ribosomal RNA
Rfam family: Bacterial small subunit ribosomal RNA
Source: RNAcentral